CCUACGGGUGGCAGCAGUGGGGAAUAUUGGGCAAUGGGCGCAAGCCUGACCCCGCCACGCCGCGUGAAGGAAGAAGGCUUUCGGGUUGUAAACUUCUUUUAUCCGGGACGAAGCAAGUGACGGUACCUGAUGAAUAAGCCACGGCUAACUACGUGCCAGCAGCCGCGGUACUCCGUAGGUGGCAAGCGUUAUCCGGAUUUACUGGGUGUAAAGGGCGGGUAGGCGGGAGUGCAAGUCAGAUGUGAAAACUAUGGGCUCAACCCAGAGCCUGCAUUUGAAACUGGACGUCUUGAGUGCUGUAGAGGGGAUCGGAAGUCCGGGUGUAGCGGUGAAAUGCGUAGAUAUACGGAGGAACACCAGUGGCGAAGGCGGAUUGCUGGACAGUAACUGACGCUGAGGCGCGAAAGCGUGGGGAGCAAACAGGAUUAGAUACCCCUGUAGUC
RNAcentral lists this ribosomal RNA (443 nucleotides) under uncultured bacterium. Its description in RNAcentral is "partial 16S ribosomal RNA". It matches the Rfam family "Bacterial small subunit ribosomal RNA", at positions 338 to 795 of the family's 1533-position model. The record is from RNAcentral.